CCUACGGGUGGCAGCAGUGGGGAAUAUUGCACAAUGGGGGAAACCCUGAUGCAGCGACGCCGCGUGGGUGAAGGAGUAUUUCGGUAUGUAAAGCCCUAUCAGCAGGGAAGAUAAUGACGGUACCUGACUAAGAAGCCCCGGCUAACUACGUGCCAGCAGCCGCGGUCAUACGUAGGAUCCGAGCAUUAUCCGGAGUGACUGGGGGUAAAGGGUUGCGUAGGUGGGCUAAUAAGUAGCUAGUGAAAUCUGGUGGCUCAACCAUUCAGACUAUUAGCUAAACUGUUAAGCUCGAGACCGUUAGGGGUAACUGGAAUUUCUAGUGUAGGGGUGAAAUCCGUAGAUAUUAGCAGGAACACCAAUCGCGUAGGCAGGUUGCUGGGACGGUUCUGACACUAAGGCACGAAAGCGUAGGGAGCAAACGGGAUUAGAUACCCGAGUAGUC
Molecule: ribosomal RNA, 442 nt
Filed under: uncultured bacterium
Lineage: Bacteria
Description: partial 16S ribosomal RNA
Rfam family: Bacterial small subunit ribosomal RNA
Source: RNAcentral